This 826-nucleotide ribosomal RNA is filed under the name uncultured organism. RNAcentral's name for it is "SSU rRNA". It matches the Rfam family "Bacterial small subunit ribosomal RNA", at positions 35 to 851 of the family's 1533-position model. The record is from RNAcentral.
GCUAGCGGCAGGCUUAACACAUGCAAGUCGAGGGGCAGCAUAAUGGAUAGCAAUAUCUAUGGUGGCGACCGGCGCACGGGUGCGUAACGCGUAUGCAACCUACCUUUAACAGGGGGAUAGCACUGAGAAAUUGGUACUAAUACCCCAUAAUAUCAUAGAAGGCAUCUUUUAUGGUUGAAAAUUCCGAUGGUUAGAGAUGGGCAUGCGUUGUAUUAGCUAGUUGGUGGGGUAACGGCUCACCAAGGCGACGAUACAUAGGGGGACUGAGAGGUUAACCCCCCACACUGGUACUGAGACACGGACCAGACUCCUACGGGAGGCAGCAGUGAGGAAUAUUGGUCAAUGGACGCAAGUCUGAACCAGCCAUGCCGCGUGCAGGAUGACGGCUCUAUGAGUUGUAAACUGCUUUUGUACGAGGGUAAACGCAGAUACGUGUAUCUGUCUGAAAGUAUCGUACGAAUAAGGAUCGGCUAACUCCGUGCCAGCAGCCGCGGUAAUACGGAGGAUUCAAGCGUUAUCCGGAUUUAUUGGGUUUAAAGGGUGCGUAGGCGGUUUGAUAAGUUAGAGGUGAAAUUUCGGGGGCUCAACCCUGAACGUGCCUCUAAUACUGUUGAGCUAGAGAAUAGUUGCGGUAGGCGGAAUGUAUGGUGGUACCGGUGAAAUGCUUAAAGAUCAUACAGAACACCGAUUGCGAAGGCAGCUUAACCCAAACUAUAUCUGACGUUGAGGCACGAAAGCGUGGGGAGCAAACAGGAUUAGAUACCCUGGUAGUCCACGCAGUAAACGAUGAUAACUCGUUGUCGGCGAUACACAGUCGGUGACUAAG